UUCCGAUUAACCCGCACAAGAAUUGCACUGUUUCAAGCUUGCCAGAGUUUUGGAAUUCCAAUUUCCGACCAUGAUCGGGAACUGCACAUUCUCGAUAAGCUUUCUUCUCUAUUCAACUAUGGCGGAGAAGGAUCCUCUUCCUCGCAAUUCCGUGCCUCUGCGAAUGCUAUCCACGACCGGUGCCAAUGCCAGAUUCACUCCUUACCCUAAAAAUAGAAGGCAGAUGAAGCUUCCAAUCCAUAACGUGGACACUUUUAGUGGGACGAAGGGAGUACGACACUAGCUGAUGCUACUAACUCUGUUUCAAGGAAAAGUGAAACUCCUAUUUGACCAGAGAAGAAUGAUGGCAGCAAUGUAAUGCAAGCACAAUGGUUGUGUCCAAUAAUCUCAAUAACGCGAGCUACAUACCUGCCUAUUGCAAAGUUUCUGCGAUUGUGGGUGCUUUCACCUCUGCUUAUGUUGGCUUUUCCCUAUGAGCAAGAAGCUUAAAAUACCAACAAAUAACCCUCAGUCAGAUGUAGUUUUCUCAUGCUUCUUGAUCAUACUCAGGUAUUGCUGAUUCUUUACGAGAUAAUCAAGGGCAAGAGUAGCAAAAUAAAUAAUUACAAAAUAGCGGGAAUAGAUAGAAAUUUGGGGCCAUCAUUUCUAGUAGAUAGGGUGCCUGAGAAGGUCAUAUACCUGAAAGUUGAAUCAAAAAAGUUUUUAAAUUUAUGCUUUGGUAAAUCGUUGACUAUUUAACUGGAGAACAUUUCUUCCCAGGAAAACUGCAUCUUGCUGGGAUAUAAAUGCAGUUUCAUGUUGAAAAUUUGGUGUUGUGAUCUUAAGAGUUGAAGUUUUCAAAAAUCUCUGCAAGAAGAGAUGCUGUUGUUCGUGUUGGUUAAACAUUUUCCAUUGUGGAAUAAACACUGUCCUGGAUUGAAGAUCUGUAUCGUAGUUCUUGAUUCAUCAUGUAGACAGUGUAUGCAGAAUUUAUGUAUGGAUUUGCUUGGUUAAGCAUAUGACCAAAGGUUGUGGACUAGGUGGGCAUUGCUGAAACUUUGAGCGUUGCAGUUGUAAUUUGGUACUUGUAUUACAUUUUUACACACCGACACUUUCUAUGUUGAGAAAGUUUCACGUUUUAGGUUUGUCAUCAUUUUGUGAAUCUGUGGCUUUUUUUAUACGUUCUUAUGUUAUAUUCAGUUUGUGUAACCAAAUAAUAACUGUUACGUAGAAAAAUCAUAUUUGCCAGAAUAAUUUGAUACUAUAAAUUAUUUAUUCAUUUAUGUUGUAAUUCAAGCAGGACUCUUGUUUAAUAGAUGUCUCUAAAAUUUAAUUCUUAAAUACAUUUUUAUGCUUUUAUAAACGUGUUAACACUUUUAUUAUUUUUUUGUUUGACUUAUUGAAGGCAUUAUUUCUGGCUCCAAUUUUUGAUUUUGGAAUCUAAAAGAGGGUGCUAUAUAUACCCCCUCCAUCCGCAUAGAACAUCCCUAGUUUGCGAUUAGAUUUCACAUUUUCAUUUUCGCUUCUGUCUUCAUAGGUAGGUUUCUUGUCUUUCUAGAUUAUAUUGCUUGAUGUUGCUGAGAAUUUUACACCUUAAAUCCAAUAUAUAUAUAUAUAUAUAUUUUGUCAUGUUGCUUUUGUUGUAUUUUCACUAUGCCUUGUAUUUGAAUGAGUUUUUACGAUCUAUUUUUUUCUUGUCUUGUUUCGAUAGAUCUUUUAUCUAUGGAAUCGUCGUAAUUUUUCAUAUUUAUUGAGUUAUGUUGUAAGUGAAUCUUACUACUUCUCAUUUGUUUAGUUAUAUUGAUUUGAGUCGUAUUUUUGAUUCAAUAUUCUUGUUCUUAAAUAAAUAAAUAUAGUAGAAAUAGAUAGAACAUUGGGGCCUUAACUUUUGUAGGUGUUUCCAUUAGACGGGGAGAAUGUCAUAUAUGUUAAAGUUGAAACAAGAAUGUUUUUAAAUUCAUCUCAUGGUAGGCAUUGACUAUUUGUCAGGAGAACAAUCUUCCACGAAAAAUGCACCUGGCUAGGAUAUAAAUGCAGUUCCAUUCUGAAUUUUUUUUUUUUUUGGUCUUAAGAAAUGAAGUUAUUCAAAGUGCAAAUCUUGCAAGAAGGGAUGCUGUUGUUCAUGUUGUAGUCCUUGAUAUGUCAUUUAUAAAUGUAUGCAUAAUUAAUGUAUCAAUAUGCUUGGUUCAACCAUACAACCAAAGGCUUUAGACUAGGUGAGCAUUGCUGAAACUUUGAUUGUUGCAAUUUGAAUUUGGUACUUGGAUUGCAUUUCACAUACGUUUCUCUUUUCAACUUGGGAGAAAGUUUCACAUUUUAGGAUUGUCAUUGUUUUGUGAAUUUGUGGCUGUUCUUAUAUUAUCUUGCCUAUGUCUCACUUUAUUUGCUAGUUUUUUUUUGUUCUGGCACGACAUUUCAGGUGGUAUAAUUUUGAUAGAGUUUUGACCAUUUUGCCUUUAUUUUUCAUUUUUGAUGAUUUUAUAAAUUUUAUUGAUAAGAAGAAAGAUAAAAUUGAGUAUAAAGUAAAGGAAGUUGUAAAACAUAUUGGAACAUCUCAAAAUAUAAAUAAUAGCAAACAAAUUGAGACGAAGGGGUAUUACUUAUGGUAUAACUGGUUUGUGUAAUGAAAUAAUAGUUAUACUAUUAUGUUGAAAGAUCACAUUUGUCACAAUGAUGGGAUACUAUUAAUUAUACAUCAUCUAUGUUGUCAAUCAAACAUGGCCCUUAUACGUUUUUUAUACUUUUAAAAACGUGUUUGCGCUUUUAUAUUUUAUUUUUGAAUUUAUCGAAGGCAUUUUUCCAUCCCCGACUUUAAUUUUGGAAGUCAAAACCUAAUUUGAAACAAGGGGUGCUAUAUAUACCCCCUGAUAUCCGCUUACGGCAGCCCUACCCUCUAAUUAGCUUUGAAAUUUUCAUCGAGUCUUCCGUUUCUUCUCCUAAAAUAUGUUUUUAGCUUUUCUAGAUUACAAUUGCAGGCAGGAUUUAGGAAGUUUUCUUGCCCAAAUAAAAACCGUUAUGUUAAAAAUUCGUAUUUUUCAGAAACUUAGAAUAAUAACUAUUAAUUAUUAAUCAUUAUGUUGUCAAUCAAGCACGACUCUUGUUUAAUAUGUGUCUCAAAUUUAAUCGUUCAAUACGUCUUUAUGCUUUUAUAAACGUGUUUGCGCUUUUAUUAUUUUUUGUUUGCCUUUACUGUAGGCUUUUUUUUCCGCCUCCAGUUUUCGAUUUGGAAGCUAAAUCUAAUCUGCAAAAUGGGGUGCUAUAUGUACCCCCAGCAUCCACACGCAAAGAAAUCCUUAGUUUGCGAUAAGAUUUCACAUUUCAUUUUUGUGUCUGUCUCCAAAGGUAUGUCCCCGGUCUUUCUAGAUUAUAUUACUUUAUGUCGCUGAGAGUUUUUGCACCUUAAAGUCAAUAUAUAUAUAUAUAUAUUUCAUGUUGCUUUUUGUUGUAUUCUUCACCUAUGCCUUGUGUUUGACCUUGUGUUUGAAUGAGUUUUUACGAUCUACUUUUUUCUUAUCUUGUUUUGAUGUAUCUUUUAUCUAUGAAUUCAUUUUUUGGUAUGGAUUUACGAGUUUAAUAUUUUAUAUUGGUGUACUAAGUGAUGUUGCUUGGGAAGCUACGACUUGGCGCUAGAUUGGGUGGAUCUAUGAAUAUAUACAAGUUAUAUAUGAUUUUAUUUCUUGCUUAAUAUGGAAUAAGUGUUGGAAUUUCUCAAAACAUGAUGAAUUUUCUUUGAAUGAUUAAUUUUUAUAAUAAUAUCUAGCAUACGGAUCAGGAGUAAAGUGCCAAUGAAAUCUAUCCAAAAACAGUGUGAUGAUACCUUUGCAACAAGGUUCCCCUUGAGUUCUGUUUUUUAUUUUAUUUUAUUUUAUUUUUUAAAUAAAAACUAUAUGAAUCUUGAUAUAGAGGUUGUUUCAAGUCUUGAAUAUUGUACUAUAGCUAGGUAGUUCAUUUAAAUCUAAAUAUUCAAUUAAGUUUAAGAUUUAAAUGAUUUUGGAGUACCAUUGAUUCAUAGACAAUUUCAACUGCUUGUUUACUGGUGUGCUCUUAGUGCAUUCUUGAAUAUUCUUGUUUUCAUUGAUCUUGACUUUUUAUCUUAUAUGGAUUUCAUGAUAGUUCUUGUAACUUUUAGAAUUAUCAAGGUGAAAAAGCAAAAAAAUGGCCUAUAGAGGACUAGUGCUUCAUGAGGGCUCCAUAUCUCAACCUCUGCAGGAGUUAUCACCUUCAACUCCCUGUUUUGUGCAUGUACUGCAUGAUGCCGACUUCUCCCAGUCACUGCACUUGCCAGCUUCAUUUGCUCCAAGAGUGAAGCACUUGGUGGGCCUAGAAGUCCUACUUGAGGAUAUAUAUGUGGGCAGAUAUGGCCUGUGACUCUUUCCUAUGUCGAAAAUACAUUAUCAUUUGCGGAGGGAUGGAGAAAGUUUCAUAGAAGCCAUGAUCUCGAGAAGGGAUGUUCCUUAGUAUUUAGGUACGUAAAGGAGGGACAUUUUUCUGUUCAAAUAUAUGACCCAAGUGGCUGUGAAAGAACCUGCUUUAUCUAUCCAAUGCGCCUGCUGAACAAUGAUGCUUGGACUCAUGCUGGGGUUGUUUCCAAUAUCCAUUAUGAUGUGGGAAAUGAUAAAGCAAAAAGAAACGACAAAGGAAAGGAGCCAAUCAUAGGAAGGAAACGGGGAUUCAUUGAUCUUGAUGGAGCCCCAUCUAGUGCCAGCCACCGCAUUGCAAAACUGACCCCUGUGAGGCUGAUGAUGCCGCCACCUGGAUUCAACAAGCCUAUAGAAAGUUUUCCCAAUGAGAGAAAUGUUGCCUUGGGACUUGGAAGCAUCCCAAUGGAUAGAGAGGGAGGGGGUUCCAAAGAAGCCCAAUCAUCUCCGAAUAGGAGCUCGAUGAAUCCGUCCAGUUGGAAGGCUUUCCCCCCCUAGACCACCGGGAUUUUGAUGUAGGUUUUGCGUGGGAAACAAGGUGCUGCUUGUUUUGUCUCAAAAAUAUUUAAAUUUUGUCAGGGAAAGAAGUUCUUAUUCCCCCUAUCUACCAGAGAAACUUUCUCGCGAGUCACAGGAUAAGGACCAUUCCCAUUAAAAUCUAUCAAUCGACAUCUGAUGUGUAAAUAAUGACAGAUGUGUACCAUAGUCCAAAUAUGGAUGAGGAGGCAUGGAAUACAUAUGAUGAGCCUACCACAAUGGUUAAAGAGUAUUGCCAUUCAUUCAUUUGGUGUUGCUUAGCCAUACCACAAUUGAUCUAUCAUCUUGGCACAAGAGUGUGUUAAUAUAACAUAAAUGCAUGGCAGGAAGCUUGGCGUUGUUUUGGAAUUCCAAUUUUCAACCAUGAUUGGGAAAUGCACAUACUCAAGAACUUUUCUUCUCUAUUCAACCAUGGCAGAGGAUUCUGUUCCUCGCAAGUCAGCUCUCAAACUCAAAUUAAUCCUUGAUCCCUACCCUACUUGUGUACUGUGGUGCUGCAGAUGCAACCUAAAACAAAGGCAGGUGAAACUUCCAAUUCAUCCAGUAUAGCGAGAUAGCUUCACCACUCUUAAUCAGUUUCCUCUGUUUUUCCAAUGCUUGAAAUGAAUCUGAUGUAUUUUUUUCAUUUAUCAAUGACAAUAAAUUCUCAUUAAAAAAUGACCGGUUUUAGCACUACACACUGCCCCUUCAAUUUUCACAAGA
This is an RNA transcript of Andrographis paniculata, 5636 nucleotides long. RefSeq lists it as uncharacterized. The transcript has 8 exons. The record is from RefSeq and is a predicted model, not a curated record. NCBI's taxonomy places the organism in Eukaryota, Viridiplantae, Streptophyta, Magnoliopsida, Lamiales, Acanthaceae.